GAUGAACGCUGGCGGCGUGCUUAACACAUGCAAGUCGAACGGAAAGGCUCCUGCUUGCAGGGGUACUCGAGUGGCGAACGGGUGAGUAACACGUGGGUGAUCUGCCCUGCGCUUCGGGAUAAGCCUGGGAAACUGGGUCUAAUACCGGAUAGGACGAUGGUUUGGAUGCCAUUGUGGAAAGUUUUUUCGGUGUGGGGUGAGCUCGCGGCCUAUCAGCUUGUUGGUGGGGUAAUGGCCUACCAAGGCGUCGACGGGUAGCCGGCCUGAGAGGGUGUACGGCCACAUUGGGACUGAGAUACGGCCCAGACUCCUACGGGAGGCAGCAGUGGGGAAUAUUGCACAAUGGGCGCAAGCCUGAUGCAGCGACGCCGCGUGGGGGAUGACGGCCUUCGGGUUGUAAACUCCUUUCGCUAGGGACGAAGCGCAAGUGACGGUACCUGGAGAAGAAGCACCGGCUAACUACGUG
This 466-nucleotide ribosomal RNA is filed under the name uncultured bacterium. RNAcentral describes it as "partial 16S ribosomal RNA". It matches the Rfam family "Bacterial small subunit ribosomal RNA", at positions 28 to 507 of the family's 1533-position model. The record is from RNAcentral.